This 243-nucleotide unclassified non-coding RNA is filed under the name Hevea brasiliensis (rubber tree). Lineage: Eukaryota; Viridiplantae; Streptophyta; Magnoliopsida; Malpighiales; Euphorbiaceae. The record is from RNAcentral.
UCUAAAUGCUUCAUUGAUUGUCUUCGCCUUGUUCAUUCUGUUUGUUUCCCACAAUGACCAUGCAUUGAGAUUUUCCCUGUCUGGUUUUCUCGGGAAUCAAACAGAAGACAGACGUUUUUCUCUUCUAUUUAUUAGGGUUUUUGUUGUUAUAAGAUGACAUAUUACGGUGACGACACAGUGGUGCCACAGCUCGGGAUGAGAGUGGAGGCUCAUAGUGAUGAUGGAGGUGACAGCAAAGGGGAG